GCCACAGGCCUGUAGUCCCAGCUACUCAGGAGGCUGAGCUCACUGGAUCGCUUGAGCCCAGGAGUUCUGGGCAACAGUGUGCUAUGCCAAGCAGGCCUCUGCGCUAAGGCCAGCAUGUAUAUGGUGAGCCCCAGGGAGCGGGAACACACCAGAUUGACUGAGGGGAGAAACGACCCAGGCCAGAGAUGAAGCAGGACAGAGCUCCUGGGCUGGUCAGUAAUGGGAUUGCACCUGUGAAUAGCCACUGCAGGACAGCCUGGGCAACACUGAGAGACACAAGUUCCU
Molecule: signal recognition particle RNA, 285 nt
Filed under: Melopsittacus undulatus (budgerigar)
Lineage: Eukaryota; Metazoa; Chordata; Aves; Psittaciformes; Psittaculidae
Description: Metazoan signal recognition particle RNA (ENSMUNG00000021007.1)
Rfam family: Metazoan signal recognition particle RNA
About the family: The signal recognition particle (SRP) is a universally conserved ribonucleoprotein.
Source: RNAcentral